GGACGCUCAUGAGGGUUUCGGCCCUUGUGGGAGUGGCGGACGGGUGAGUAGCGCGUGGGAACCUGCCUUGGAGUGGGGGAUAACCGAGGGAAACUUCGGCUAAUACCGCAUGCGCCCCCGUGCAAGCGGGGGGAAAGAUUUAUCGCAGCAGGAGGGGCCCGCGUCGGAUUAGGUAGUUGGUGGGGUAACGGCCUACCAAGCCUGUGAUCCGUAGCUGGUCUGAGAGGAUGAUCAGCCACACUGGGACUGAGACACGGCCCAGACUCCUACGGGAGGCAGCAGUGGGGAAUAUUGGACAAUGGGCGCAAGCCUGAUCCAGCAAUGCCGCGUGAGUGAUGAAGGCCUUAGGGUUGUAAAGCUCUUUCGGCGGGGACGAUGAUGACGGUACCCGCAGAAGAAGCCCCGGCUAACUUCGUG
This 417-nucleotide ribosomal RNA is filed under the name uncultured bacterium. Its description in RNAcentral is "bacterial SSU rRNA". It matches the Rfam family "Bacterial small subunit ribosomal RNA", at positions 64 to 507 of the family's 1533-position model. The record is from RNAcentral.